GAUGAACGCUGGCGGCGUGCCUAAUACAUGCAAGUCGAGCGAACGGUCGAGAAGCUUGCUUCUCUGAUGUUAGCGGCGGACGGGUGAGUAACACGUGGAUAACCUACCUAUAAGACUGGGAUAACUUCGGGAAACCGUAGCUAAUACCGGAUAAUAUUUUGAACCGCAUGGUUCAAAAGUGAAAGACGGUCUUGCUGUCACUUAUAGAUGGAUCCGCGCUGCAUUAGCUAGUUGGUAAGGUAACGGCUUACCAAGGCAACGAUGCAUAGCCGACCUGAGAGGGUGAUCGGCCACACUGGAACUGAGACACGGUCCAGACUCCUACGGGAGGCAGCAGUAGGGAAUCUUCCGCAAUGGGCGAAAGCCUGACGGAGCAACGCUGCGUGAGUGAUGAAGGUCUUCGGAUCGUAAAACUCUGUUAUUAGGGAAGAACAUAUGUGUAAGUAACUGUGCACAUCUUGACGGUACCUAAUCAGAAAGCCACGGCUAACUACGUG
Molecule: ribosomal RNA, 497 nt
Filed under: uncultured bacterium
Lineage: Bacteria
Description: partial 16S ribosomal RNA
Rfam family: Bacterial small subunit ribosomal RNA
Source: RNAcentral